RNAcentral lists this ribosomal RNA (1332 nucleotides) under uncultured bacterium. RNAcentral's name for it is "bacterial SSU rRNA". It matches the Rfam family "Bacterial small subunit ribosomal RNA", at positions 28 to 1381 of the family's 1533-position model. The record is from RNAcentral.
GACGAACGCUGGCGGCGCGCCUAACACAUGCAAGUCGAACGAGCGAGAGAGAGCUUGCUUUCUCGAGCGAGUGGCGAACGGGUGAGUAACGCGUGAGGAACCUGCCUCAAAGAGGGGGACAACAGUUGGAAACGACUGCUAAUACCGCAUAAGCCCACAGCUCGGCAUCGAGCAGAGGGAAAAGGAGCAAUCCGCUUUGAGAUGGCCUCGCGUCCGAUUAGCUAGUUGGUGAGGUAAUGGCCCACCAAGGCGACGAUCGGUAGCCGGACUGAGAGGUUGAACGGCCACAUUGGGACUGAGACACGGCCCAGACUCCUACGGGAGGCAGCAGUGGGGAAUAUUGCACAAUGGGGGAAACCCUGAUGCAGCGACGCCGCGUGGAGGAAGAAGGUCUUCGGAUUGUAAACUCCUGUUGUUGAGGAAGAUAAUGACGGUACUCAACAAGGAAGUGACGGCUAACUACGUGCCAGCAGCCGCGGUAAAACGUAGGUCACAAGCGUUGUCCGGAAUUACUGGGUGUAAAGGGAGCGCAGGCGGGAAGACAAGUUGGAAGUGAAAUCCAUGGGCUCAACCCAUGAACUGCUUUCAAAACUGUUUUUCUUGAGUAGUGCAGAGGUAGGCGGAAUUCCCGGUGUAGCGGUGGAAUGCGUAGAUAUCGGGAGGAACACCAGUGGCGAAGGCGGCCUACUGGGCACCAACUGACGCUGAGGCUCGAAAGUGUGGGUAGCAAACAGGAUUAGAUACCCUGGUAGUCCACACUGUAAACGAUGAUUACUAGGUGUUGGAGGAUUGACCCCUUCAGUGCCGCAGUUAACACAAUAAGUAAUCCACCUGGGGAGUACGACCGCAAGGUUGAAACUCAAAGGAAUUGACGGGGGCCCGCACAAGCAGUGGAGUAUGUGGUUUAAUUCGACGCAACGCGAAGAACCUUACCAAGUCUUGACAUCCUGCGACGGUGCUGGAAACAGUACUUUCCUUCGGGACGCAGAGACAGGUGGUGCAUGGUUGUCGUCAGCUCGUGUCGUGAGAUGUUGGGUUAAGUCCCGCAACGAGCGCAACCCUUAUGGUCAGUUACUACGCAAGAGGACUCUGGCCAGACUGCCGUUGACAAAACGGAGGAAGGUGGGGAUGACGUCAAAUCAUCAUGCCCUUUAUGACUUGGGCUACACACGUACUACAAUGGCGUUAAACAAAGAGAAGCAAGACCGCGAGGUGGAGCAAAACUCAGAAACAACGUCCCAGUUCGGACUGCAGGCUGCAACUCGCCUGCACGAAGUCGGAAUUGCUAGUAAUCGCAGAUCAGCAUGCUGCGGUGAAUACGUUCCCGGGCCU